Tyto alba (common barn owl) is the source of this 6606-nucleotide long non-coding RNA. RefSeq lists it as uncharacterized. The record is from RefSeq and is a predicted model, not a curated record. Lineage: Eukaryota; Metazoa; Chordata; Aves; Strigiformes; Tytonidae. The transcript has 12 exons.
CAAGGUUAAAAGACUUGGUGCGCCUCCUGACUCUGUGCUUCACCCCGGUGUUUGAAAGCAGUGGCAGGGGGAGGCGAGGGGAAAAGGAAGACAUCAGUACACAAGGAGAAGCUGAAACCAAAAGACCAGCCCGUGCUGCACGUUCCCACUUCUCGGCAACUGUGGCUGACACCUUUGCUUGUCCUUCACCGACUGACGGCUCCGAAACCAGGCCUGGCUUUCUGUGCCUAUCCCUGGGGGGGAACUGCUGGGUAUUCUCGGAGUACACGUCGGGAUGCAGGCAUCCUAUGCUCUGCAGGUGUCAAGUGGUGUCAGGUGGAAGAGUGGAAAGCAGAGGGUUCUUGUUCAGUUUGCAAGCUGCGACAGGCUGCGGGCCAGGUGGAGAGCAGGUUCGGAACGCAGAGUGGCCUGGAGAAGUCGGAGGAGUGGCCUGGACAGACUGGGAUGUGGACGGCUGCAAGGCUCUCCUCUGUUGAGGUGGGAACACUCAACGGCGUUAAUGCAAGGAUAAGAGAUGACUGGCUAAGAAGCUGUCCUGAAGAGAAGGAUCUGUGUCUUGGAAUGGAUCGUCUUAGAAGAGGUUACAUGUGAAAUGUGGCUCAGUAGAGUGACACGCUUUAGAGCAACUAGAAACAUGAUUCAAGAGAGAAAAUUGAACAAAUUGGGAUUGCCUAAACUAAAGAAGAGAGAAGCAGCAUGAAAACAAAGAGUUCAGCCUGAGACCUAGAAAUUGCUUCAUAAGAAAACCAUCUGUGUUGAGAGAGAUGGACUGAGGUAUCCUGUCACAUACACUGUUCAAGUAUUGCUAAUUAUGGAUGUAUUUUGGAUCUGGCUACUCCUAUGUGCCCACAUAGCAACUGAUGGAAUGCCUCUCAUUUUUGGUGGAAAAGUGUUUACUUUUGAGAAGUCCAUGGCAGCUGUAGCCCUAUUUUUGUCACCAGAAGCUGGUUCACUGCCAUAUCGUCUGAAGGAAUAUGGUGGUUCUGGAGAAGAGGAACAAUGGGAGGAAGAUGGUUGAUACACACACGUGCACAAGCCCUCCUGGGUAUAAUUUAACGUCUGCAGAUUUCCACGGUGGGUGAAGAAAGAGUAAUGCCCACUGCCCAAGAGGAUGUGGAGGAGAAGCAGAAGGGAGUACAUACUUGCCCUGUGGCAAUGAUGGAUGCUGUCCAUGCUGGGAGCUGCUGCUACUUGCUGUGGAGAUGCUCAGAGGAAGGGAGGCUCCCGGGCUGGGUCUUGAAACAACGUGCUUGCAUCAACUGUUUACCCUGGGCCAACCAAACAUGUUGAAGGUCCCCUGGGGUGUCUGGAAGCUGCAGAGCAGCCGCCACGUGCACUUCGGCUGGAGGACACACCUGGGCCAGGUCUGGAAAAGGGCAGUUGGGGUUGGCGUGGUGGUGCACUGGUGCUCUCUGACUCCGCAGGGCAGCAAUGACAUCAGGUAAUGCUGUGUUGGGGAGUCAGAGGAGCUGAAAUUUGUCCUCCUGAGCUCUGAUGUCAGGGUGCAGUGUUAUCUUUCUGAGAGCACUGUGGUGAUAUUGUUGGGAAUUAUCUAUCCCACACUGAGGGGAGCCUAUCUGAAGCUAACACAGUCCUUGCAAAGUGCAAGGUCCUUUGUGAAGAACUGUGGCAUGAUGUUUAACUUACAGUUUUCAGCAGCAAAGAAAAGAACAAAUGCUGGAAAUAUGCAUUAAACCUCUCCAUGAUAGCUGAAAAAGAGUGUGAAAAAGCUGUAGCCCAGUCUGCUUUCCAUUUGUGACUACUUUGUAUAUUUUUUUUUACUUUUGUCUAUUUAUGACAGUUUUUAAAUGGCUCAUGUGAAAAGUCUUCUUUAAAUCCCUUGCCUUUUACUAGAUCAAAGUCUCCAGACCAUCACAAAAUGGAUUAUUUUGGGAGGAGUUCUUAAUGAACUGAAAAUUGAAAGCUAGGCCAUUAAUCCUUAACAUCAAGUGGAAAUUCUUCACAUUACUCUUUAUUGUCUUAGUGUCACUGGAAAUUAAGAACUGUCUUCCCUGGUGAAUCUGGAAGCAGUCUCUGAUUGUACAGAGCCACUACUUAUUCCGCCCUCGUGCUUCCCUUGAGUAUAAGUUAUGAUAUAUCAGCAUUGUCUUUGAGGUCUACUGCAUGUGGAUAUGCAAUACACUGAAGAGUGGAGACGAAAUGAAGUUGAAAGGAUUCAUGAAUAAAAUUGUCUGCCAUGUAACCCAUUUUUCUUCACAACCCAGAGAAGACCUGAUUUCUUCAGCAGUUCAGCAAGGAUUGAAAGAGACCUCUGAAGACACAGGCUAAAACUGUCUCCUAUAAACUUCAACACAAUAUGUACCUAUAGGCACCUCUCAUCCUUCACAGAUAUUUGUCUAAUUGCACUCAUUUAUUGAUCUGAAAUGUAAAGUGUCCAAGAAGACAUUGGACAUCCCCAAUUUAAGCUUUUCUCUCAACCUUCCCUGAAGGUCCAUCCAGAAGAAACCCUGAAUGUUUGUCAUUUGUCAAGGAUUCAAUAAUUGGCAGGAAAGGAUGGCUUUGGGCACAUAUGUCCCUUCCCUCCCUCCCUCUCCCAAACAUUGUGAUCUUGUUUAGCUUUGUACUGUCAUGUUAGCUUCUUCUGUACUUGCCAGGGUUCAACUUGUAUCUUGUGAUGGCGCUGCAGAAGCUUGUCACCUUGAGCACUUUCCACAAUUUCCUCAUGCUGAUUGCUGUUUCCAUGGAAGUCUGUGAUGUGUUUUAUUCAAAGUAUAAUUUGUAGAAUGUUUGCUUAGAACAGAGGAAGGGAAAAAUAACUUCUUCAAGACAGAGUGAAAGAAAAUAUACUCUAAAUUUUAAAAAAACAUUAACCCCUCCUCUAAACCUUAAUCCCUGGCUCUGCUGAAUCCCCAAUUAAUACCAGUUCUCUUUAGGACAGAAGUGUUCAAUGACAACAUGAAGGAAGACAUGUCAGGUCACAGACGCAGAGCAUGAAAUAUCUCUACUCUUGUUAAUUAUGACCCAGCCUUACCAAAAAACAGAUGGAACUUCUUUCAAAGCUUUGUGUGUAUGCCUGUGUGUGCGCACAUAUGCAUGUCUGUCUUACGAAUGGCUAAUUCAAAUCAAACUUGGGAUUCUAGUCAAGACAACAUCUUCACUGCCUGAACUGGUUUGUUUCUGUACUCUUAUCAUUACCAAAAAGAAGGAAAACUACAAUCAAGUUUAAUUCAACUCCAAAGAGAAAGAAUAUAUUCCACACUUUCCAUUAACAGCCCACUAUGCAAUACUUUCCUAUAUGACACACACGACAAAGCACAGGCUCUGGGCCUGAUUCUGCUUGAAAUUUCACAACUAACUAUAGCAUCUGCAGCUUGAGUAGUGCAGCUAAAACCCCAAUCAACCUCUCCUCUUUCCCCUUCUCUGGAUUACAGGGCUACAGGGUUAAACUUUACUUAUGCAUAAUAGGAAGAGAGAUACAUCUGCUUAUGCAGGGAUGUGCAACACUAGCUAUAGGUGCUCAGGAGCACCACUGUGCUCCACAUCCUUACCAGAUACAGUGGAUUAUCCAAAAGGCAGUGGUGCCUGCACCCCUUCCUUCAGCUCAACCAUGCCCAAGAGUGUUUUAAGUAUUACUGGAACCUAACUCUGGUCUUAAACUGACUCUUUUGCAAGACCUUGCAGUGCAGUUCAUUACUAUGAAGUGUCAAGAAUUCAAAGGGAGGAACACGUGAGAACAGAAUUAGCUGCCUCCAGACUGGAACAGCAAUGCUGCUAAUUGGGACACUUACAAAACAGUGUCAUAUGUGUCAUUGCUUUUUACUAUCCCCCAGAAACACCUCCAGAAAAAUAUAAAAUGUUAAUCUGACUUUUUUUCCCAGCAUACAGUUGCUUUACAGGAGGCUGCCUCUCUUGUCCCUUGGAAUGGAUAUUGUUCAGAAGUAUUUACAGGCAAAAACUACCUUCUAGGACCACUGAUACUGGGACACAGGCAUUAAGCAAAAAUUAAGCAAAUCCCAGUUGCAAGGGAAUGAACAGUUAAAAGGCAGGAAGGUAACAUAUGUGCUUCUAUGCUUUGCCCCAACUGGGUGACACUCUAAUAAGUUUCUUAUUCUGCUUUCUUCUGCUGAGAGACUGGAAGACAUAUGUCACUUUUCCACCUUAACUGUGCAUUUUCUAGUUUGUUUGGAUUUAUGUCAUAACCUUAAUGGGAUUUAAAUGGAAUUUUUAUAUGUGAAUAAUACUGUGCAUUAAUGCAAGAACUUUAGGUUGCCGUGCUACCAGCCUGAUUUGCAUAAAGGUUUUUAAAUAUGGAAGAUGAAUAGCCAGGCUAUUGUAGAUGGCAAAGUGAAAAAAAAGACACUGGCAUAAUAGUAAGAGGAGGAGACAACCGCUCCAAAACAUUGGCUUGUGAAAGGGUUAACUCUCUGACUCUUAGGUACAACCAGGUGUGAGAGAAAAGCCUGGGGGUCAUGCUAGUCAUGAAUAUUUAGAUGCUAGAGGGUCAAGGCUGGAUUAAAUGGUGAAGUAGACAGGUCAAUGUCAUAGUUUUAUACUUCAUCAUAAAACAUUCUCUGUUCUACUGUACUGUCUGUGAUCUGCAAAUGUAAAUUGUCUGUGUCAGUGCUUAGCUCACAUGACAGUUACACACACACCCCCACAUUGGUGUGCAGAAGUGGCUGUUUCCUGUAAGUAUAUGCUAUACUGUAGAUUUAGGGAGAUUAUCUGUAAAUAAUAAAACCAAUAAGGUGUCCGUGUCUUACAUUAAAAAAAAAAUGUGUUAUUGUGCAAUUACGUACUACUUAUGUUUAAUGUACAGUGUGUUGUCUCUCUAUUUCCAAAUCCUUGUUUACCCUUGAGUAUGUCAAGUAGGAGUAGGAGAAUACUUCCCCCUUUUGUACUAUUAUUUUAUUCGGAAGGGGAAUUUGGGGCACAGUUCCAAAGAUUUGUCUUGAUAAAUUUUUUGUGGCAGCACUGAGAGUAGCACUGCAGGUUUUCUGACUCUUGAUCCUUUGCCUUAAACAAAAUAUCAUCCUUUUGGUUUUCCAAGCCUGAAUUGCGUGUGAGCAGCUCCAAGUUACUGAUGGUAGUGCAGUCAGUGAACUUUCCUGCUGGCAUGUUUUUCAUUCUUAGUGCACCAUUAUUAUUUUUAAAUGAAUUAUGUAUAUAACACGCUUGGUGUACAGACUACUCUGCAUGUGAAUAAUAAAGCACAGUCUCUGCUCUGAGGAACUGACAGUCUAAGGGCUUGAUCCAGUAAACACUUAUUCCUGGGUGAUUUGCUUAGCCUACUAUCAUGAGUAAUCUGUUGAUCUGGCCCCAAACUAAUUAGGUAACUUGACAAAUAAGCACAAUAGGACACACUAGGUAGUGAAGGAGGAAAGGGAUGAGACACAACAGUACAUAAAGAUUUAGGAAGAAAGAGGAUAAACACAAGCUGGUUUGGAUUUGAUUUAUUUCUCUGUGGCAAUGUCUGCACGGAAAUGCUGUAAAGGAUGAAGCUUGGGCUCUGGAAUGAAGUGUGUUGGAUUUCAUCCAAGCCUUACACCUUGCUCUGCAUUCAGCUUGCCCUCAUGACAGGUGAUAGCCUUGUCUUGACCUAAUUAUUUUCCUUUAUGAUCCAUCUCUGCAAUCAGUCCCAGAGGAGUCUUCAUGAUGGUCUUUUAAAAGUAGGUGAGAUUGAAUAUACGUGCAUAGGUCUGAAGAGCAUUGGAGUGGGAUGAGUUAAACCAUGCUGUUGGUGAGCCAUUGGCUGACUGUCCAGGAUGGUCCCAUGAUCAAGGCUUAAGUUUCUUGCAAAUGAGUUAGCUCCCUACAUGUGGGGAACAGAACAGCAGCAGCGGUGUAUGUAUGACCUUCUUGUGAAAAAAUCAUCAGGUGAUGAUACUACUUUGGAGUCAAGUCUUGGCUCUCUUUAUCUCUUGCAGAAGCAGAAUAUGCAGUGCCAUGGUGCCAGGACACUGGUCUGUACUCUUGCUUGGGAGUCCUGCAGGGUGAGGGACCAAACACUGAAUUUCAGUUCUGAGAUUUCACGUGUUGGUACAAAUGAGCUUAAAGCACUUUAUCAGUGUUGAGGCACUGUUUGAGUAUGGUUAUUUUCUGCUGAAUAGUAGUAUUUAGUUUAUGCUUAAAGAUCCUGUUUUUACUGCUGUAAGUGAUGCUUGGACUUGUAGGGGCCACCACUGACCUUGUUUGCAUGGGUUCUGCAUUUAAGGCUGCAUUAAAGUAUGAAGACCUUGUCAGGAAAAAAAAUCCAUGCAUUUUUGUCUGAGAGGUGACCCAGGGCAGAUCAUCAGUGGAACUGGGGCUGUGAAGGGCAGAAUGGAAGUACCUAUAUCUGGCUUUGAAAGCCCUUGACUGAUGGACUUAGUAACAUACUGCUUAUAGGCACCCUUGAAGCAGUUUCCUGGUACCUGGCUUCUGUCUGAAUUUUCUACAAGAUCUAGGCUAAGGGAUCUUGAAAAGAAAAGUCCACUUGUAAGCAUGGACAAAAUGAUUGUCUCAAAUGAUUGUCCAAGGUACUAAUUUCACCAUCUGGUGCUGUUUGCAACAUGCAAAGGGUCACAGGUGGCUCAGGAAUAAUAAAGUUGUAUUUAUUCAGCUGACUACUGUGCUGGAAAAGGGUAGAUAUAUUUCACUGACUUGGUC